GAUGAACGCUGGCGGCGUGCCUAAUACAUGCAAGUCGAGCGAACAGACGAGGAGCUUGCUCCUCUGACGUUAGCGGCGGACGGGUGAGUAACACGUGGAUAACCUACCUAUAAGACUGGGAUAACUUCGGGAAACCGGAGCUAAUACCGGAUAAUAUAUUGAACCGCAUGGUUCAAUAGUGGAAGACGGUUUUGCUGUCACUUAUAGAUGGAUCCGCGCCGCAUUAGCUAGUUGGUAAGGUAACGGCUUACCAAGGCAACGAUGCGUAGCCGACCUGAGAGGGUGAUCGGCCACACUGGAACUGAGACACGGUCCAGACUCCUACGGGAGGCAGCAGUAGGGAAUCUUCCGCAAUGGGCGAAAGCCUGACGGAGCAACGCCGCGUGAGUGAUGAAGGUCUUCGGAUCGUAAAACUCUGUUAUUAGGGAAGAACAAAUGUGUAAGUAACUAUGCACGUCUUGACGGUACCUAAUCAGAAAGCCACGGCUAACUAUGUG
RNAcentral lists this ribosomal RNA (497 nucleotides) under uncultured bacterium. RNAcentral describes it as "partial 16S ribosomal RNA". It matches the Rfam family "Bacterial small subunit ribosomal RNA", at positions 28 to 507 of the family's 1533-position model. The record is from RNAcentral.